This 3388-nucleotide long non-coding RNA is filed under the name Aquilegia coerulea. RNAcentral's name for it is "long non-coding RNA (ACOE_LNC001251)". Lineage: Eukaryota; Viridiplantae; Streptophyta; Magnoliopsida; Ranunculales; Ranunculaceae. The record is from RNAcentral.
UCUACUACCGUUUUUCAUCACCUUUUUAUCAACAAUACAUCACUGCUGAUGGUUUUCUCCCCAGCUUCUCAUGGUCACUUAUCUCUUUUUCUGAACUUCUACACUCUUUCAUUUGGAUUCUUGGUCAACCUUCUCGAUGGAGGCCUAUAUCUCGGACAGUAUUCCUAGAAAGAUUACCGGAAGACGAAGAAUUACCUCCAAUAGAUGCACUGCAGAUCCAAACAAAGAACCAACUAUAGGAGUGUUGAACACAGUGAUAUCAGCUAUGUCUUUAGACUACCCUUCUGAAAAGCUCUUUGUGUAUGUGUCCGAUGAUGGGGGUGCACCUAUUACUUUGUUUGGUAUGAUAGAAGCUUAUAGUUUUGCUAAACAAGGGAUUCCUUUUUGUAAGAAAUAUGGAAUAAAAACAAGAGCUCCAGAUGCUCAUUUCUCGCAAUCAGAUCAUCAAAAGGAAAAUGGUUCAAUGAGUAAUGAAUUUGCUGAAAUUAAUUCGAAAGGAAAUGGAGGUGAGCUAACAUUUCGAUCUUAUCGCGUACUCUUACAGUGCAUCAUAAAAUUUAGUUACUUUUACUGUUUUACACGUCUAAUUAACAAGAUUCAAUCCAGGUUAGGUAUCAAGUGUUUAAGCAACGGGUGCAGAAAGCAAGAUCAAGUGGUGCUGCAAGCUUAUCUUCUGGUUCAGAUCGACCUCCUAUUAUCGACGUAAAUUAAGUUUAAUUUGGUGGUAUUGACAUGUUUACAGUAUAUUGAUUUAGGCAAAUUAGAUUUUGUGGACUUGCUGACCCUGAAUUCGAUUAUGGCAGGUCAUACAAAAUGAUGCAGUCGAUGGUGAAGUAAAAGAAAAUGAUCAAGCCAAGGUGGCUCUUCUAAUUUAUGUUUCGCGUGAAGAAAGACCAACUCAUCCACACCAUUUCAAACCAGGAGCUCUUAAUGCCCUUGUAUGUUUAAUUGUUUAUAUUUAUUCCUCUCCCUUCUAGUGUUCUACGACACAUUAUGAUGUACUGGUCACUUCGAUCAGCAUGACGUACUGGUAUUAAUUAACGACCAAUAACCUCUUGACGCAUGUCCUUGUUGCAGCUUCGUGUGUCAGGCAUAAUAAGCAAUUCUCCAUACAUGUUGGUCUUAGAUUGUGAUAUGAAUUGCAGUGACCCAACCUCUGCUAGACAAGCUAUGUGUUUCCACAUUGAUCCUGACAUCUCUCCCUCGUUGGCUUUUGUUCAAUUUCCUCAACUGUUCCAUAAUCUCAGUAAGAAUGACAUCUAUAAUGAUCUAUUGAGAACCGGAUGUGAGGUAUAUCUACGUUAAACGAGUCUUGUAUAGCUAAUUAACGUCUCAGAGUCGGGAUAAUCUAGGUUAUUAAAACUGUUCUGAUUAUAUUUGCAAUCGGACGUCGUUAUAUUUCAGGUGCAGUGGUAUGGUCUGGAUGGCCUACGGGGGCCACUUUUAUCUGGCACUGGCUUUUAUACGAAGAGAGAAGCUUUGUUUAGAAGUCCUACACAAAAAGGUUUAGCAAAAAACUUAGGGACGGGUUCCUUCUUCUACUGACUUAUGUAAAGUGUUUUUUUUUUUUUUUUUUUUGAUAAUUAAGUUUAACACCUUAUUAAAAUUAAAACUGUCAGAAACAAGUUACAAGAAGUUAACAUGGACAGUGAGAGAGACACUCACUCUCCUUGCAGGCCUAAUCAACUCUUUAUUGUGCAGAUCUAAGUCACAUUAGGAAUAGGCAAGAUGUCGGUUGUUCAAAUGACUUCAUCACAUCACUUCAUCCUGAUAACAAAGUUAAAGCAAUUAGCAAUAAUCAACAUGUAUCAAGCAGAUUGCUUGAAGAGGCCAGACUUCUGGCUUCUUGCACAUACGAGUAACAAACACAAUGGGGUGAACAGGUAAGUUAAUUUCCAAAUGAAUAAACAAACCAUCUCAUGUCAUUAUGACCCUAUCAGUAUUGUUCCAUCAAAAUUUUUAUAAGAAUGAGAAGUACGGACAAACUGAUUUAAGCUACAAGAUAAUAUUCAGCUCUCAUAUUAAAAAUGUGUUAGUAUCAUAAUAACUGAGCUGCAUAAGUGCUUCAGCUUAGGAUCUACAUAAAAAAUACGAAAUUCCAUCAGUAAUUACUUACUCUUUACCUAGUGUCUUACCUCUCUUUCUUUCUUAAUGGCGUUUUCUGAAAUAUCCAGACCUACAACAUAACGUUCAGGGCCAACAAUUGCAAUCACAUGAUGAUCUUGUUGGCUAUAAUAAGUAAGUACAAUAUAACGUGCAAACUAAUAAAACAUAAAAAUUAAACAAGUUUGUUGAACAGUUUUAAUUAGAGACCAAAUGUUGUUACAUGCGUGAAAACGCCACUUUCACUUAUAAAUGACCAUUGCAUCAAAAUGUCAUGUCAUCAGAUAAAAUUUUAACAUUUUGGAACAUGUACUCACAUGCUGAAACAAUAACAAACAUGUAAACACUUACAGUGUCACAUACUGGGAUUAGAACCCUGCCUUUUGGAAGAGGAAGAGCAGCUGGUUUGUAGAAGAUUUAAAAUAACAGGUGUUGGUCCUCGCAAAUCCCCAUAGUGUUCAGUGCUUUUUCCUAGCAUUAUUUGUCCCAGGCACCUAGUCAUUCAAACUUAAACAAAAUUCAGAAAUUCAAUAGUUGUAAUGGACAGAACGACUUAGAAAUUAAACACAAGUUUUCCUUUGAGCUUCCAAUGUAGUCAAUUAUGUUGAUGUAAAAAUCCAUUAAGGCCAUUAUGCUAUGCUUCUUGAAGCAGAUUUACAAACAUUCUACAAAUAAGUCAAAGUGUUGCAAGGUUUCUGUUACAUGUUCGAUAAUCUAAUUCUCACUGGUAUGAUUAUGUAUUCACAUUAUCACUUCAAAUUUUCAUCAUCAUCAUCAUCAUCAUCAUCAUACUCAAAUUAUCACAAAUAAGAUAUUGAAUUCCAUGGAAAUUGAAGAAUAUACAAUUAAAUUAAACAACAAUAAAAAGAAGAGUAGAGAUGAGAUGAGAUGAGAUAGUAAGGAGAGAGUGUCAGACCUGUUGAAUCAUUGUUAACGAAUUGGUUCAAGUUAGGUAGAUUUUAGUUGUUGUUGUUGUUCGAAAUCUUCUCUUGAUCUCUUCUCUUUCACUUUGUUUCCUCAUGCUCCUUCGUUCCAACCUAUUGCAAGUUGCAACAACAAAGAUUUUUCACUCUUGUUGUUGUUAAAUGUAAAUGAAGGAAACUGCAAUUGGAUUUGGAGAGCGAACGAACAAGAUUACAAGAGUGUUGCGCGCAAGCAAACAUUACCAUCGCUCGCUCUCGCUCUCGCUCUCGAGUCUCGUCAAACCUUGGAGGAAGAUUGCCUUGGACUGGGCACUGGACUUGCUGAAUUUCUCAACCUAAAGGCAACAAUCUUGCUGUCUAUU